Molecule: ribosomal RNA, 483 nt
Filed under: uncultured bacterium
Lineage: Bacteria
Description: bacterial SSU rRNA
Rfam family: Bacterial small subunit ribosomal RNA
Source: RNAcentral
CGGCAUGCCUAAUACAUGCAAGUCGAGCGAACAGAUGAAGUGCUUGCACUUCUGACGUUAGCGGCGAACGGGUGAGUGACACGUAAGGAAUCUACCUAUAAGCGGGGAUAACAUUCGGAAACGGUGCUAAUACCGCAUAAUAUCUUCUUCCGCAUGGAAGAAGAUUGAAAGACGGCUCUGCUGUCACUUAUAGAUGACCUUGCGGUGCAUUAGUUAGUUGGCGGGGUAACGGCCUACCAAGACGAUGAUGCAUAGCCGACCUGAGAGGGUGAUCGGCCACAUUGGGACUGAGACACGGCCCAAACUCCUACGGGAGGCAGCAGUAGGGAAUCUUCCGCAAUGGGCGAAAGCCUGACGGAGCAAUGCCGCGUGAGUGAAGAAGGCCUUCGGGUCGUAAAACUCUGUUAUAAGAGAAGAACAAAUUGUAGAGUAACUGCUACAGUCUUGACGGUAUCUUAUCAGAAAGCCACGGCUAACUACGUG